CAGUAGCCGCGGUAAUACGUAGGGUGCAAGCGUUAAUUGGAAUUACUGGGCGUAAAGCGUGCGCAGGCUGUUUUGUAAGACAGAGGUGAAAUCCCCGGGCUCAACCUGGGAACUGCCUUUGUGACUGCAAGGCUAGAGUACGGCAGAGGGGGAUGGAAUUCCGCGUGUAGCAGUGAAAUGCGUAGAUAUGCGGAGGAACACCGAUGGCGAAGGCAAUCCCCUGGGCCUGUACUGACGCUCAUGCACGAAAGCGUGGGGAGCAAACAGGAUUAGAUACCCCUGUAGUCCCUGUCUCUUAUAC
RNAcentral lists this ribosomal RNA (301 nucleotides) under uncultured bacterium. Its description in RNAcentral is "partial 16S ribosomal RNA". It matches the Rfam family "Bacterial small subunit ribosomal RNA", at positions 509 to 807 of the family's 1533-position model. The record is from RNAcentral.